Massarina eburnea CBS 473.64 is the source of this 108-nucleotide non-coding RNA. Lineage: Eukaryota; Fungi; Ascomycota; Dothideomycetes; Pleosporales; Massarinaceae. The record is from the annotation of a GenBank genome assembly.
GGGGCAUUGGCGCAAUGGUAGCGCGUCUGAUUCCAGUUAAAUAGACUCAGUCAAGUUUCUGAUUCUGGAAGAUCCAGAAGGUUAGCUGUUCGAAUCAGCUAUGCCUCA